CUACGUGCCAGCAGCCGCGGUAAUACGGAGGGUGCGAGCGUUAAUCGGAAUAACUGGGCGUAAAGGGCACGCAGGCGGUGACUUAAGUGAGGUGUGAAAGCCCCGGGCUUAACCUGGGAAUUGCAUUUCAUACUGGGUCGCUAGAGUACUUUAGGGAGGGGUAGAAUUCCACGUGUAGCGGUGAAAUGCGUAGAGAUGUGGAGGAAUACCGAAGGCGAAGGCAGCCCCUUGGGAAUGUACUGACGCUCAUGUGCGAAAGCGUGGGGAGCAAACAGGAUUAGAUACCCUGGUAGUCCACGCUGUAAACGAUGUCGAUUUGGGGGUUGAACUUUGAGCUUGGCGCCCGUAGCUAACGUGAUAAAUCGACCGCCUGGGGAGUACGGCCGCAAGGUUAAAACUCAAAUGAAUUGACGGGGGCCCGCACAAGCGGUGGAGCAUGUGGUUUAAUUCGAUGCAACGCGAAGAACCUUACCUACUCUUGACAUCCAGAGAACAUUC
This 498-nucleotide ribosomal RNA is filed under the name uncultured bacterium. RNAcentral's name for it is "bacterial SSU rRNA". It matches the Rfam family "Bacterial small subunit ribosomal RNA", at positions 501 to 1000 of the family's 1533-position model. The record is from RNAcentral.